UACAGAGGGCUCAAGCGUUGUUCGGAUUCAUUGGGCGUAAAGGGUGCGUAGGUGGUGGGGUAAGUCGGAUGUGAAAUCCCGGGGCUCAACCCCGGAACUGCAUUCGAUACUGCCUUGCUCGAGUACUGGAGAGGAGACUGGAAUUUACGGUGUAGCAGUGAAAUGCGUAGAUAUCGUAAGGAAGACCAGUGGCGAAGGCGAGUCUCUGGACAGUUACUGACACUGAGGCACGAAGGCCAGGGGAGCAAACGGG
RNAcentral lists this ribosomal RNA (253 nucleotides) under uncultured bacterium. RNAcentral's name for it is "partial 16S ribosomal RNA". It matches the Rfam family "Bacterial small subunit ribosomal RNA", at positions 524 to 776 of the family's 1533-position model. The record is from RNAcentral.